GAUGAACGCUGGCGGCGUGCCUAAUACAUGCAAGUCGAGCGAACAGACGAGGAGCUUGCUCUUCUGACGUUAGCGGCGGACGGGUGAGUAACACGUGGAUAACCUACCUAUAAGACUGGGAUAACUUCGGGAAACCGGAGCUAAUACCGGAUAAUAUAUUGAACCGCAUGGUUCAAUAGUGAAAGACGGCUUUGCUGUCUCUUAUAGAUGGAUCCGCGCUGCAUUAGCUAGUUGGUAAGGUAACGGCUUACCAAGGCAACGAUGCGUAGCCGACCUGAGAGGGUGAUCGGCCACACUGGAACUGAGACACGGUCCAGACUCCUACGGGAGGCAGCAGUAGGGAAUCUUCGGCAAUGGGCGAAAGCCUGACGGAGCAACGCCGCGUGAGUGAUGAAGGUCUUCGGAUCGUAAAACUCUGUUAUUAGGGAAGAACAAAUGUGGAAGUAACUCUGCACGUCUUGACGGUACCUAAUCAGAAAGCAACGGCUAACUACGUG
RNAcentral lists this ribosomal RNA (497 nucleotides) under uncultured bacterium. RNAcentral's name for it is "partial 16S ribosomal RNA". It matches the Rfam family "Bacterial small subunit ribosomal RNA", at positions 28 to 507 of the family's 1533-position model. The record is from RNAcentral.